Molecule: transfer RNA, 63 nt
Filed under: Torymus sp. ZJUH_2016035
Lineage: Eukaryota; Metazoa; Arthropoda; Insecta; Hymenoptera; Torymidae
Description: tRNA-Glu
Source: RNAcentral
UUUUAUAUAGUUUAAAUAAAACAUUAUAUUUUCAAUAUAAAAUUAUAGUAAUUAUUAUAAAAU